This 623-nucleotide ribosomal RNA is filed under the name Escherichia coli. Its description in RNAcentral is "partial 23S ribosomal RNA". It matches the Rfam family "Bacterial large subunit ribosomal RNA", at positions 247 to 911 of the family's 2925-position model. Lineage: Bacteria; Pseudomonadati; Pseudomonadota; Gammaproteobacteria; Enterobacterales; Enterobacteriaceae. The record is from RNAcentral.
CGGCGAGCGAACGGGGAGCAGCCCAGAGCCUGAAUCAGUAUGUGUGUUAGUGGAAGCGUCUGGAAAGGCGCGCGAUACAGGGUGACAGCCCCGUACACAAAAAUGCACAUGCUGUGAGCUCGAUGAGUAGGGCGGGACACGUGGUAUCCUGUCUGAAUAUGGGGGGACCAUCCUCCAAGGCUAAAUACUCCUGACUGACCGAUAGUGAACCAGUACCGUGAGGGAAAGGCGAAAAGAACCCCGGCGAGGGGAGUGAAAAAGAACCUGAAACCGUGUACGUACAAGCAGUGGGAGCACGCUUAGGCGUGUGACUGCGUACCUUUUGUAUAAUGGGUCAGCGACUUAUAUUCUGUAGCAAGGUUAACCGAAUAGGGGAGCCGAAGGGAAACCGAGUCUUAACUGGGCGUUAAGUUGCAGGGUAUAGACCCGAAACCCGGUGAUCUAGCCAUGGGCAGGUUGAAGGUUGGGUAACACUAACUGGAGGACCGAACCGACUAAUGUUGAAAAAUUAGCGGAUGACUUGUGGCUGGGGGUGAAAGGCCAAUCAAACCGGGAGAUAGCUGGUUCUCCCCGAAAGCUAUUUAGGUAGCGCCUCGUGAAUUCAUCUCCGGGGGUAGAGCACU